GGGCUCUGGUGAGACCACAUCUGGAGUAUUGCGUACAGUUUUGUGCAGAAUAAAGUCUGGGAAAAUAUUGGAAGCUUGGUUUAUACUAAUCAUUGAAACAAUGUAUUAACAUAGAGAUGUAUUGUCUGGGCACAGCACCAUAUAAGAUAUCUGUCUGAACUGCCUGUCCCAUCUAAGGACAAGGUAAUGGCUUUCAUCCAAGUUUUACAAGCUUGUUUUAGUUCACAGGCGGAUGCCCAAUCUGGAACCAAGAUGGCAGUCAUUUGAAAACAAAAUGGAGUUAGUUGUCCUUCCGUAAUGGGCAGCUGUACUGAAGCUGUGCCAAGAUUUGAGAUUAAGGCUAACUUUGCAAA
This is a long non-coding RNA of Amblyraja radiata (thorny skate), 353 nucleotides long. RefSeq lists it as uncharacterized. The record is from RefSeq and is a predicted model, not a curated record. Lineage: Eukaryota; Metazoa; Chordata; Chondrichthyes; Rajiformes; Rajidae. The transcript is spliced from 3 exons.